GAUGAACGCUGGCGGCGUGCCUAACACAUGCGAGUCGAGCGAUUUACUUCGGUAAAGAGCGGCGGACGGGUGAGUAACGCGUGGGUAACCUGCCCUGUACACACGGAUAACAUACCGAAAGGUAUGCUAAUACGAGAUAAUAUGCUUUUAUCGCAUGGUAGAAGUAUCAAAGCUUUUGCGGUACAGGAUGGACCCGCGUCUGAUUAGCUAGUUGGUGAGGUAACGGCUCACCAAGGCGACGAUCAGUAGCCGACCUGAGAGGGUGAUCGGCCACAUUGGAACUGAGACACGGUCCAAACUCCUACGGGAGGCAGCAGUGGGGAAUAUUGCACAAUGGGCGAAAGCCUGAUGCAGCAACGCCGCGUGAGCGAUGAAGGCCUUCGGGUCGUAAAGCUCUGUCCUCAAGGAAGAUAAUGACGGUACUUGAGGAGGAAGCCCCGGCUAACUACGUG
This 452-nucleotide ribosomal RNA is filed under the name uncultured bacterium. RNAcentral describes it as "partial 16S ribosomal RNA". It matches the Rfam family "Bacterial small subunit ribosomal RNA", at positions 28 to 507 of the family's 1533-position model. The record is from RNAcentral.